Solanum pennellii is the source of this 1159-nucleotide long non-coding RNA. RefSeq lists it as uncharacterized. The record is from RefSeq and is a predicted model, not a curated record. Lineage: Eukaryota; Viridiplantae; Streptophyta; Magnoliopsida; Solanales; Solanaceae. The transcript is spliced from 6 exons.
UUCCAUUCCUAAUCAUCAAGAAUCACUUCUCUUUUCUUGAUAAAAAAAAACAAAUUAAAAAGAUCUUUUCAAAUUUCAGUAAUACAAGGAUAUUUGGUGGUGCUUUUUUAAAUAAUAAGAUGUGGAUCGACAUUCAUUCGACUUAGAACAAGUGUUCAAUGUAAUCGAUAAAUUGGUCUCUUCUAACUCUCGAUUGUUUUCUAAGAUGGAGAAUGGAGUAAGAAUUGAAUGGUGUGACAAUUGCAAGGCACAGGCAAAUUUAGUCGGCGGCAUCAGGUUUUCAACCCGACCCUCAUUGGCAAAAAAUUAUACUAUACCAAUGAGGUGUGUGACUCUAAAGAAAGCAUUGUGUGCUUAGACUCUCAUCUUAAGUUAUUAAUUUUAAAGAAGCAGACUAUUAAGGUUUUUCCCGAAGAAUGCUCGGGAACAUGUGGUAUUUAAAAGUGUUGAAGAAACCAAUAUGAUGUUUGAUGUUUUUUCGUCUUGUUGUUACACUAUUUGUCGCUAAUAUCCAAACAACUUGUAAGUACAUUAUUUGUAUUCUGAGUCAAGCUAUAAACACUUGAUUCAGUCUGUGCAUUAGGUGAUUUUAGAAGCAUUGGAACUCCACCGUAAUGAGCUAUUGACAACAAAAUAAGGCAAAAAUCAAGUGACCACUUACUUCGUUUCAGACAUGGUUUGAAGUGUGAUUCGCUGCAUAUGCUCGCUUUGAUAUAAGGGAAGAGGAAGGAAAAAUGUCACAACAAAACCAUAACAUGGUAUUAUUUGCCAAAAAAGGCAGGGGAAGAGGAAAAAAAACAACAUCAACAUACUGAAGCAUUGACAAAACAAGUUUUUGUUGGGUAUUCAAAGUCUUUUUUUGUUGGAUAUUCGGCAACAACAACAUCAAUAUAGCGAAGCAUUGACAAAAUAAGUUUUUGCUGGGUAUUCAAAGUUUUAUUUUUGUUGGAUAUUCAAAGCAAGCUAGGAGUAAUUCUUCCUCUACUCACUACCUUGAGGGGGAAUGUUGAAGAAAAAGGAAACUAACGAUUGGAACAUGUCAAAGAAAUAGGUCCAACGCAGUUGAUUGACCUAUCUGCAGCAAAAAUUGAUGAAGAAAGAAGCUGACGAAUGAAACAUGUCAAUGGAACAGGUCCAACGAAGCUGACCGACGAGUUUG